Long non-coding RNA from Lynx canadensis (Canada lynx), 2497 nucleotides. RefSeq lists it as uncharacterized. The record is from RefSeq and is a predicted model, not a curated record. The transcript is spliced from 5 exons. Lineage: Eukaryota; Metazoa; Chordata; Mammalia; Carnivora; Felidae.
GCGGCGCCCAAUCAGCGCGCGGCUUCCAUUUUGUGAGUUCAACUCCGAGGCUCCCGGGCUUCGCGAGGACGCAUUUGCAGCCCCCUCUGCCUGUCCUCUCGGGCGGCCGAGGCGAAGGAGCCGCCUUUCUGGGGCUUCGUGGUGGUGUAUUUCAUAUUGGGGCUCUUUUCGGGGUUUGUAAUUUGGCCGUGGGUAGGUAAUUGGCUGGAGCAGGGCGGCAGGGCGCGGCAGCCAAUCAGCGCGCGGCUUCUAUAGGGCUUGAGUUAUUAGACGCUGAUCUCAAAACAUCGUUCAUCAGACACCAAGGAGAGGCCAACAGAUGAGGGGAGCCAUUUUUCUGCAAUGGAAUUAAAUGGCCAAAGCAGUAAACAGUCCUCAGCGAAGCCGCCUUUUGCCAACCCAACCCUGGAAAGUUUGCAGAAGUGGAAGGAGCAGAAAAUGCCAUGAGAGUGUAACUUACAAAAAGGCUCUUGGCUGGAGAAAGGGCGACGGCCAGGUAUCCCCAGAGUGAACCAUCCUCCUUUGGACAGCAGGAUCAGGCCUAAUUUCACUCUGACAAUACUCUAAGAUGUGUGGGACUGUUGUGUGUGAAACCGGCUGCCUGCUGGGCCUGCUUGGUCCAUCCAUCCCCGCCUGUCAGCUUCUGUUGUCAAGAGUUUGGGGCGUGCAAUUCUCUGCAGUGUUGAGCAGCAUAGGAGAGGCUGAACUUGCAAGUAUUUCCCAGUUGUGUGUUUUGGGGUGGGUGGGGUAGGGCCAUGGAUGCCUCUUCUGAAAGGUAGUCUGUUGCCAGGAAGCUCAGCCCUGCUCUGGCCCUCCCUUCCGGCCCUAGUGGGGGCGUGUGGGGUGACCGUGAGCUGGUCUCUUCCCCUCUGAUGUCUGGCUGCUACAGAGGUGAACACAAGUACCUGAGAUCUGGGCCAGCUUCCUCCGAGAAAGAGGCUUCUGGACUCUUCUCCCCCUUCUUGGGAAUUCCCACGAUUUUCUGCACCCCCCCAGCCCCCCCCCCCCCAAGAGUCCUGGUUCUAAAAUGAGACAAACUGGGAUUUGAAACCUGGCUAGCCAUUUAUGUGCUGUGACUUUUCAUGAGCUGCUGAGUCUCUGAGCCCAUUUCCCCAUCUGCACAAUGGGGCUGGGUCACUGAUCCCUAGUCUAGAGUGUGCACCGGAGUCAUACAGGUGGCUCAUUAGAACAUACUGCUGGGGCCCAGUCCUCAAGUUUCUGAUUCGGUAGGUGGGGCCCGAGACCUUGCAUUUCUACCAAGUUCCCAGGUGAUGCCGAUGCUGCAAUCUGAGGAUAUGUUUUGAGAGCCUUUGGGUGAGAGACUAAGAGAAAAAUUACCAGGGGUACCCAAAACCGCAAAGAAAAGACCCCCCCCCCCCCCCGUACCGGAACCAGCCAGGGCAUGCCCGGUUGUGGUUUGACCUAAAGGCGGGAACCAGUCAAGUUUUGCUGAGUGGUCAAAUUUAAAUAUCAACCAAUAACAGCUCUGUAACCGUGGAAGAUCCCUAACUUCCCCAUAACUUGUUUGUGCCUGUCUAUAAAAAGGCUGUAAAAACCUCACUCGGGCACUCUUAGCGUCACUGACAACGAGUGCGCGGAGGUCUGGGUUCGAACCUGCAAUAAACGGCCCUUGCCGCUUGGCUUUGACUCUGGACUCUGGUGGUUUGUUCUUGAGGGUCACCCGAAUUUGGGCAUAUCAUUUGGGGGCUCAUCUGGGAUACCCCCAAGCCCUCCAGACCCCAAGUCAACGGGUCGUCCCUGAAGCUGAUCGGGAUGUUAGAACCAGAGGACAGAAUUUGAGUCUAGACAUCCGGAGGGGAAAAUUAAUAACCCUCUGCCACUCCGAAUGGCCAACCGAAGGAACUUUCUGCCUCCCUAUAAUUGCUAAGGUGAAGUCAAAGAUUUUUCUACCGGGUCGCAAGGGACACCCGGAUCAGAUUCCCUUACGUUCUAGUAUGGCAAGAUUUGGUGGAAAAUCCACCCCCUUGGUUGGCCCCCUUCCUGUCCUCAGGAACGUGGAAGGUCCUUGCCAUGCGGACUGCAGAUCCCCCAAAACCAAAGAUGCCAUCCGCGCCCUUGUAUCCCAUAUUGCCUGAUAGUCAGGACCUACUAUCCCUAGACCCUCCACCCUAUCAUCCCCCUCCCCUCGUACCCCAGGCCCUACCAGCACCAGCCGCCCUGCUAGUUGCCCCCCUAGGGGAACCGGGAGGACGGGAAGCGGCAGCCGCGCCGGAACCAGGAGGACGGGAGGCUAUAGCUGCACCGGGCCCCAUUGAAAACGAAACUGACCUCAAGGGGCCAGCCGGCUGAAGCCGCGGGCGCACUCAGCGUGAGCCAAACCCUCGCCUCCCCGACUCCACUGUGGCCCUACCCCUGCGGGAAAUAGGACCCCCAGAUGAAACAGGCAACCCCCGACUCCAGUAUUGGCCCUUUUCCACCAGUGACCUUUACAACUGGAAAACACAGAACUCUCGAUUCUCUGAUAACCCUAAAGACC